Molecule: transfer RNA, 68 nt
Filed under: Haliotis virginea
Lineage: Eukaryota; Metazoa; Mollusca; Gastropoda; Lepetellida; Haliotidae
Description: tRNA-His
Source: RNAcentral
AUUGAGUUAGUUUAAUUGAAAAUUCUGGGUUGUGGUCCUGGUGAUGGGGGAGKYCCCCCNACUCAAUA